Non-coding RNA from Sturnus vulgaris (Common starling), 565 nucleotides. The record is from RefSeq and is a predicted model, not a curated record. NCBI's taxonomy places the organism in Eukaryota, Metazoa, Chordata, Aves, Passeriformes, Sturnidae.
AGAAAGUUUAAGGCAUGUUGUGUUUCAUCUUUCCUCCUUUCUUCUCUUCGUAGCUGCUGUCCCAGCUGAGAAGUAGGGAGUGGGAUGACACCAUAGAGCACUGGCAGUCUGCCUCUUCAAACACGCUGAGCACUUUCUGUUAGAAACCACCUUCGUUGUUUCUUGUUCUGUCUGCUGGGCUGUGCCGUGUGCUGUUACAACAUUGCCUUGUCUCAGCAGUGAAGCCCUUUCAUUUAGCCAAGGAUAAAAUAGCCCGUACUUAAGAGUACAGCUUGACUCAGCCUGGAAAGAAAGAUUAAAGCAACCGCUAUACCUAACCACUCUGCCUUGGUCUGAUAAGAUGCCAGAAUUACAUGACUUCUACUGUGUAACAAGGUGCAAGGCAUGUAUUACCAAGGACCCCGAACACAUCACCGGUGUGAGAUCUGAAGGAUUUGCUGGGCAAUGGGCUCUGGGGAUGCAGCUGGGAACGCAGAGGAAGAUCUUCACGGACAGGCAGACUCUGUGGCUGUGGGUCAGCCAUGCCCCGUACGGAGGUGACACGAGGAUCUGCACUCCCUGCGAC